Molecule: unclassified non-coding RNA, 368 nt
Filed under: uncultured fungus
Lineage: Eukaryota; Fungi
Description: partial contains small subunit ribosomal RNA, internal transcribed spacer 1, and 5.8S ribosomal RNA
Rfam family: Eukaryotic small subunit ribosomal RNA (bases 1-73)
Source: RNAcentral
GCAAACUUGGUCAUUUAGAGGAAGUAAAAGUCGUAACAAGGUUUCCGUAGGUGAACCUGCGGAAGGAUCAUUACAGUGCUCGUCGGGGCGUCUUCUCAAAAAAGACGUUCCCGCACCUGCCCACCCGUGUCUACUUUCUCCUCUGUUGCUUUGGCGGGCCCGGCCAGGUUGACGUACCCACGUCACCCCGGCGACCGGCGGAUCACCUCGCGUACCCACGCGGGGCCCUCUGGGUAGCGCCCGUCAGAGGACCAUUUUUUGAAUUCUUUAAUGAAUAUUGUUAACAGUCUGAGCUGAUUUAGCAGAAAUGCAAAGUCAAAACUUUCAACAACGGAUCUCUUGGUUCUGGCAUCGAUGAAGAACGCAGC